UAGAACCCCGGAGAGAGGGUGCGGGGGACGCCGAGACCCUCUCGCCUUGCACGCAUGCACUCCCACAGACGCACACACACACACACACACACACACACACACACGAGCGCGCUUCUGCACAUCACACCUGGGUCUGGCUACCUUUCUGGCAGGCGCUCCCUGCAUGCGGGCUCUUUCAGGGACCUGAUGGGGUGUGUUUGCCCAGAUCCCCGGGGCACAAGGACAAGUCCAGACGGGGCCCUUGACUCAGCUUCUCUGAGCGUGAAGAGAACGCUUCUCCGGAUCAAAAUAGCAAGUGCUGUCGGCCGAGGAGGGGAGGUGGCACUCGAAACUCCGAGCCAAAAGAAGGAUGCUGGGCGGAGCAGGCGCCACAGGCUCCCGCGCGCACGUGAGUGGAGGGGACAUGCCUGGGAUUUGGGAACAUGUCUCUUUGUGAGUGUGCGCACAGCUCAUGGCAGUGACUCGGAUCACACAGCACCCAACCCUGUAGCAAGGAAAAAAGGAUGCUUCUCACCGGAGCGCCCUGACCACAGGGGCCUUUUGAUAACAGACUCACUCAGCCGGCUGCAGGGAAUUGGCUGUGAGGAGAUGCAUGGGAAUAGCAGUGAGGAUAUUCUAGCUCCAGUUCAAAUUACUAAGAAGGGGAGGAGGAUCUGAAGAUCCAGCGAAGUACCAGGGUUCCCGGUUAGCCAGAGCCUCUGACCCAGGCCACCUCUAGGCUCCUGGGACAUCCAAAGAUCUACAACCCUUGGGUCCAACAUCCCCCAUU
Long non-coding RNA from Hipposideros armiger (great roundleaf bat), 769 nucleotides. RefSeq lists it as uncharacterized. The record is from RefSeq and is a predicted model, not a curated record. Lineage: Eukaryota; Metazoa; Chordata; Mammalia; Chiroptera; Hipposideridae. The transcript is spliced from 5 exons.